This 460-nucleotide ribosomal RNA is filed under the name uncultured bacterium. RNAcentral describes it as "partial 16S ribosomal RNA". It matches the Rfam family "Bacterial small subunit ribosomal RNA", at positions 338 to 795 of the family's 1533-position model. The record is from RNAcentral.
CCUACGGGAGGCAGCAGUGAGGAAUAUUGGUCAAUGGACGAGAGUCUGAACCAGCCAAGUAGCGUGAAGGAUGACUGCCCUAUGGGUUGUAAACUUCUUUUAUAAAGGAAUAAAACGAGGCACGUGUGCCUUUUUGCAUGUACUUUAUGAAUAAGGAUCGGCUAACUCCGUGCCAGCAGCCGCGGUAAUACGGAGGAUCCGAGCGUUAUCCGGAUUUAUUGGGUUUAAAGGGAGCGUAGAUGGGUUGUUAAGUCAGUUGUGAAAGUUUGCGGGUCAACCGUAAAAUUGCAAUUGAUACUGGCAGUCGUGAGUACAGUUGAGGUAGGCGGAAUUCGUGGUGUAGCGGUGAAAUGCUUAGAUAGCACGAAGAACCCCGAUUGCGAAGGCAGCUUACUAAACUGUGACUGACAUUGAUGCUCGAAAGUGUGGGUAUCAAACAGGAUUAGAUACCCCAGUAGUC